AACGAACGCUGGCGGUGUGCUUAACACAUACAAGUCGAACGAGAACGUUUCCUUCGGGAAGCUAGUAAAGUGGCGCAAGGGUGAGCAACACGUGAAUAAUCUGCCCUCGAGAUCGGGAUAACCUGGCGAAAGCUAGGCUAAUACCGGAUAAGACCACGUUUCAUAAGAAACGCGGAAAAAGGAGUCUCAACCUUCACUCGAGGAUGAGUUCGCGGACCAUUAGCUUGUUGGUAAGAUAAAAGCUUACCAAGGCUACGAUGGAUAGCCGGCCUGAGAGGGUGAUCGGCCACACUGGAACUGAGACACGGUCCAGACUCCUACGGGAGGCAGCAGUGGGGAAUAUUGCGCAAUGGGCGGAAGCCUGACGCAGCAACACCGUGUGAGCGAUG
This 389-nucleotide ribosomal RNA is filed under the name uncultured Nitrospina sp. RNAcentral describes it as "bacterial SSU rRNA". It matches the Rfam family "Bacterial small subunit ribosomal RNA", at positions 29 to 410 of the family's 1533-position model. Lineage: Bacteria; Pseudomonadati; Nitrospinota; Nitrospinia; Nitrospinales; Nitrospinaceae. The record is from RNAcentral.